Molecule: transfer RNA, 68 nt
Filed under: Malaza empyreus
Lineage: Eukaryota; Metazoa; Arthropoda; Insecta; Lepidoptera; Hesperiidae
Description: tRNA-His
Source: RNAcentral
ACUUAAAUAAUUUAAUUAAAAUAUUGAUUUGUGGAUUCAAAAAUAUGAUGUGUUAAUCAUUUUAGGUU